This 1396-nucleotide ribosomal RNA is filed under the name uncultured bacterium. RNAcentral's name for it is "bacterial SSU rRNA". It matches the Rfam family "Bacterial small subunit ribosomal RNA". The record is from RNAcentral.
GCUUAACACAUGCAAGUCGAGGGGCAGCGGUGGUGAAGGCUUGCCUUUACCAGCCGGCGACCGGCGCACGGGUGAGUAACACGUAUGCAACCUGCCUGCCACAGCCGGAUAAUCGGGAGAAAUUCCGUCUAAUACGGCAUAAUGCAUCGACGGGACAUCCUGUUGGUGCCAAAGGUUGAUUCCGGUGGCGGAUGGGCAUGCGUCGCAUUAGUUAGUUGGCGGUGUAACGGACCACCAAGACGACGAUGCGUAGGGGUUCUGAGAGGAAGGUCCCCCACACUGGUACUGAGACACGGACCAGACUCCUACGGGAGGCAGCAGUGAGGAAUAUUGGUCAAUGGGCGGGAGCCUGAACCAGCCAAGUCGCGUGAGGGAUGACGGCCCUAUGGGUUGUAAACCUCUUUUGCCGGGGAGCAAAGUGCCGCACGUGUGCGGUUUGGAGAGUACCCGGAGAAAAAGCAUCGGCUAACUCCGUGCCAGCAGCCGCGGUAAUACGGAGGAUGCGAGCGUUAUCCGGAUUUAUUGGGUUUAAAGGGUGCGUAGGCGGACGCUUAAGUCAGCGGUAAAAUUGCGGGGCUCAACCUCGUCGAGCCGUUGAAACUGGGUGCCUUGAGUGGGCGAGAAGUACGCGGAAUGCGUGGUGUAGCGGUGAAAUGCAUAGAUAUCACGCAGAACUCCGAUUGUGAAGGCAGCGUACCGGCGCCCAACUGACGCUGAAGCACGAAGGCGUGGGUAUCGAACAGGAUUAGAUACCCUGGUAGUCCACGCAGUAAACGAUGAAUGCUAGUUGUCCGGGGCGAUUGAGUUCUGGGUGACACAGCGAAAGCGUUAAGCAUUCCACCUGGGGAGUACGCCGGCAACGGUGAAACUCAAAGGAAUUGACGGGGGCCCGCACAAGCGGAGGAACAUGUGGUUUAAUUCGAUGAUACGCGAGGAACCUUACCCGGGCUCAAACGCAGGAGAGAUGUUUUUGAAAGGAGGCAGCCAGCAAUGGUCUCCUGCGAGGUGCUGCAUGGUUGUCGUCAGCUCGUGCCGUGAGGUGUCGGCUUAAGUGCCAUAACGAGCGCAACCCCUACCUACAGUUGCCAUCGCGUGAUGGCGGGCACUCUGUGGGGACUGCCUGCGCAAGCAGUGAGGAAGGCGGGGAUGACGUCAAAUCAGCACGGCCCUUACGUCCGGGGCGACACACGUGUUACAAUGGCAGGUACAGCGGGAAGCCACCCGGCGACGGGGCGCGGAACCCGAAAACCUGUCUCAGUUCGGAUUGGAGUCUGCAACCCGACUCCAUGAAGCUGGAUUCGCUAGUAAUCGCGCAUCAGCCACGGCGCGGUGAAUACGUUCCCGGGCCUUGUACACACCGCCCGUCAAGCCAUGGAAGCCGGGGGUGCCUGAAGUG